GACGAACGCUGGCGGCGUGCUUAACACAUGCAAGUCGAACGGAAAGGCCCUGCUUUUGUGGGGUGCUCGAGUGGCGAACGGGUGAGUAACACGUGAGUAACCUGCCCUUGACUUUGGGAUAACUUCAGGAAACUGGGGCUAAUACCGGAUAGGAGCUCCUGCUGCAUGGUGGGGGUUGGAAAGUUUCGGCGGUUGUGGAUGGACUCGCGGCUUAUCAGCUUGUUGGUGGGGUAGUGGCUUACCAGGGCAUUGACGGGUAGCCGGCCUGAGAGGGUGACCGGCCACAUUGGGACUGAGAUACGGCCCAGACUCCUACGGGAGGCAGCAGUGGGGAAUAUUGCACAAUGGGCGGAAGUCUGAUGCAGCAACGCCGGGUGCGGGAUGACGGCCUUCGGGUUGUAAACCGCUUUCGCCUGUGACGAAGCGUGAGUGACGGUAAUGGGUAAAGAAGCACCGGCUAACUACGUG
This 468-nucleotide ribosomal RNA is filed under the name uncultured bacterium. RNAcentral's name for it is "partial 16S ribosomal RNA". It matches the Rfam family "Bacterial small subunit ribosomal RNA", at positions 28 to 507 of the family's 1533-position model. The record is from RNAcentral.